This 465-nucleotide ribosomal RNA is filed under the name Vreelandella stevensii. Its description in RNAcentral is "partial 16S ribosomal RNA". It matches the Rfam family "Bacterial small subunit ribosomal RNA", at positions 338 to 795 of the family's 1533-position model. The record is from RNAcentral. Lineage: Bacteria; Pseudomonadati; Pseudomonadota; Gammaproteobacteria; Oceanospirillales; Halomonadaceae.
CCUACGGGGGUCAGCAGUGGGGAAUAUUGGACAAUGGGCGAAAGCCUGAUCCAGCCAUGCCGCGUGUGUGAAGAAGGCCUUCGGGUUGUAAAGCACUUUCAGUGGGGAAGAAAGCCUUGGGGCUAAUACCCUCGAGGAAGGACAUCACCCACAGAAGAAGCACCGGCUAACUCCGUGCCAGCAGCCGCGGUAAUACGGAGGGUGCGAGCGUUAAUCGGAAUUACUGGGCGUAAAGCGCGCGUAGGCGGUCUGAUAAGCCGGUUGUGAAAGCCCCGGGCUCAACCUGGGAACGGCAUCCGGAACUGUCAGGCUAGAGUGCAGGAGAGGAAGGUAGAAUUCCCGGUGUAGCGGUGAAAUGCGUAGAGAUCGGGAGGAAUACCAGUGGCGAAGGCGGCCUUCUGGACUGACACUGACGCUGAGGUGCGAAAGCGUGGGUAGCAAACAGGAUUAGAUACCCGUGUAGUC